AAGUAGAGGUCGCACGAUUCAAUAGUAACUGUACUGAUGUCCCCAAGCAUAUGAUGUGCAGCGAAAGGGGAGAGUGCCGAAGCAGAUUAUGUGGGAAGUUAUCUGCUGGGCGUAAGAUUAAUAAUCUUAUGACUGUCAUUAUAGACAUGUUUAUGUCAUAUGAUGGAGGGCUACGC
Molecule: non-coding RNA, 176 nt
Filed under: uncultured Lachnospira sp.
Lineage: Bacteria; Bacillati; Bacillota; Clostridia; Lachnospirales; Lachnospiraceae
Description: Lysine riboswitch
Rfam family: Lysine riboswitch aptamer
About the family: Riboswitches are metabolite binding domains within certain messenger RNAs that serve as precision sensors for their corresponding targets.
Source: RNAcentral